RNAcentral lists this ribosomal RNA (256 nucleotides) under uncultured bacterium. Its description in RNAcentral is "partial 16S ribosomal RNA". It matches the Rfam family "Bacterial small subunit ribosomal RNA", at positions 524 to 776 of the family's 1533-position model. The record is from RNAcentral.
UACGUAGGGUGCAAGCGUUUGUCCGGAAUUAUUGGGCGUAAAGAGCUCGUAGGCGGUCUGUCGCGUCGGCUGUGAAAUCCCGGAGCUCAACUCCGGGUCUGCAGUCGAUACGGGCAAACUGGAGUACUGCAGGGGAGACUGGAAUUCCUGGUGUAGCGGUGAAAUGCGCAGAUAUCAGGAGGAACACCGGUGGCGAAGGCGGGUCUCUGGGCAGUAACUGACGCUGAGGAGCGAAAAGCGUGGGGGAGCGAACAGG